UUAAAUUGAAGAGUUUGAUCAUGGCUCAGAUUGAACGCUGGCGGCAGGCCUAACACAUGCAAGUCGAACGGUAACAGGAAUCAGCUUGCUGAUUUGCUGACGAGUGGCGGACGGGUGAGUAAUGUCUGGGAAACUGCCUGA
RNAcentral lists this ribosomal RNA (141 nucleotides) under Escherichia coli. Its description in RNAcentral is "partial 16S ribosomal RNA". It matches the Rfam family "Bacterial small subunit ribosomal RNA", at positions 1 to 133 of the family's 1533-position model. The record is from RNAcentral. Lineage: Bacteria; Pseudomonadati; Pseudomonadota; Gammaproteobacteria; Enterobacterales; Enterobacteriaceae.